Molecule: long non-coding RNA, 335 nt
Filed under: Helianthus annuus (common sunflower)
Lineage: Eukaryota; Viridiplantae; Streptophyta; Magnoliopsida; Asterales; Asteraceae
Description: sRNA HanXRQr2_Chr12g0541151
Source: RNAcentral
UUAUUUAUGUGGGACGCAUAUAAACACAGUGGGUGUUUUUGUGCGUACCUCACAAUAAUUGGAAGCAAGAAACCCUAGCACUCCCCUCUUGAAGUAACGACAACCUUUCUAGUCGAUGUUCUCCUACCUUCGAAACGUCAUCUUCCGCAUCCUUGUAUUCGGUUAUUGAUCCUUGUGUAUGUGGAACUUGCUGUCUGGGAUGCUGGAGUGGUCAUGGGUCGAGAUACAUAGAAUCGCGAGACGGGUUAAUGGUUACAAUACAUAUGGUUUAUGAAACACAUAACUAAUGAUUUAUGCUUCCGCUGAAUACGAUGGUUUGUAAUUAUUGUUUUGUA